GGACGAGUAGCUCAGCGGUAGAGCACGCCCUUGAUAAGGGUGAGGUCGCAGGUUCGAGACCGGCCUUGUCCA
Molecule: transfer RNA, 72 nt
Filed under: Allobosea sp. RAC05
Lineage: Bacteria; Pseudomonadati; Pseudomonadota; Alphaproteobacteria; Hyphomicrobiales; Alloboseaceae
Description: Bosea sp. RAC05 tRNA
Rfam family: tRNA
About the family: Transfer RNA (tRNA) molecules are approximately 80 nucleotides in length. Their secondary structure includes four short double-helical elements and three loops (D, anti-codon, and T loops).
Source: Rfam by way of RNAcentral